This 253-nucleotide ribosomal RNA is filed under the name uncultured bacterium. RNAcentral's name for it is "partial 16S ribosomal RNA". It matches the Rfam family "Bacterial small subunit ribosomal RNA", at positions 524 to 776 of the family's 1533-position model. The record is from RNAcentral.
UACGAAGGGGGCUAGCGUUGUUCGGAAUUACUGGGCGUAAAGGGCGCGUAGGCGGUCUUGUAAGUCAGAUGUGAAAGCCCGGGGCUCAACCCCGGAAUAGCAUUUGAUACUGCGAGGCUUGAGUCCGGGAGAGGAUGGCGGAAUUCCCAGUGUAGGGGUGAAAUUCGUAGAUAUUGGGAGGAACACCGGUGGCGAAGGCGGCCACCUGGACGGGUACUGACGCUGAGACGCGAAAGCGUGGGGAGCAAACAGU